Molecule: RNA transcript, 2534 nt
Organism: Platichthys flesus (European flounder)
Lineage: Eukaryota; Metazoa; Chordata; Actinopteri; Pleuronectiformes; Pleuronectidae
Gene name: S-arrestin-like
Exons: 15
Source: RefSeq, a predicted model, not a curated record
UGAGUGUGUCCUCGUUAUAAAAGCAGCUCAGUGAGAUCAGUGGAAAGUCGUCUCCACUCGUCUCUGCGUCAGGUGUCGACACGUCGAGUCACGAUGAGUCCGAAACACGUUGUCUUCAAGAAAGUUUCCCGCGACAAGUUGGUUACCGUCUACAUGGCCCAGAGAGACUUUGUGGAUCACUGCAGCUUUGUGGAUCCAGUCGAUGGAGUGAUCCUCGUCGACCCGCAGCUGCUGCAGGGGAAGAAAGUGUACGUGAUGUUGUCGUGCACGUUUCAAUACGGCCGUCAGGACAUGGACGUGUUGGGCGUGGCCUUCAGGAGGGACCUGUUCCUGGUGACUCGUCAGGUUUAUCCUGAGCUGCAGGACAAAGACAGUCUAACUCACACUAAGAUCCAAAGGAAGCUGCUGCAAAAGCUCGGAGACAACGCAUUCCCCUUCUUCUUUGAGUUUCCAGACAACCUGCCGUGUUCCGUCGCUCUGCAGCCGGGGCCUUCUGAUGUGGGAAAGAAAUGUGCCGUGGAGUUUGAGGUUAAAGCGUUCUGUGGUCAGCACCAGGACGAGAAGACCAACAAACAGAGUUCAGUUCGUCUCAGUAUCCGUAAGAUCCAGUUCAGUCCAGAGAACCAGGACCUGGUUCCUGUGGCAGAGAGCACCUUCGAGUUCCUGAUGUCAGAGAGACCUCUGUCCGUCAAGCUGAGCCUGUCCAAAGAGACGUUUUAUCAUGGUGAGCCGGUCAUGGUGAACGUUGACAUCACAAACUCAUCCAACAGGAACAUCAAAGACAUCAGUGUGUCAGUCGAGCAGGUGACCAAUGUCGUUCUCUACUCCAACGACAAAUACGUCAAGUCCGUCGCUAAAGAGGAAACAGAGGACUGUGUUCCAUGUGGGACGUCGCUGAAGAAACACUACACUCUGUUUCCUGGUCUGACUCACAACAAAGAUCGUAGAGGAGUCGCCUUGGACGGACGACUGAAACAUGAAGACACAAGCCUGGCUUCAUCCAGCAUUGUGAAACAGGAAGUGAUGAAGGAUGUUCAGGGGAUACUGGUGUCGUAUAAAGUGGUGCUGAGGAUGAUCGCCAGUGGGACGCUGGCAUCAAGUGAGGUGUCUCUGGAGGUUCCGUUCAGACUCAUGAACCCUAAACCUGAACCAGGUAAAUUCAAACUGUCCAAACAGAAGCUGAGUCCUGAUCCUAUGAAUAAUUCAUGUUCCUGGGCCCUGUACUACGAAGCAGGUUCACAUGACCUGUUUAUCCAGCUGAACCUAACACAGUCAGGCCAAGUGGUCACACCAAGUUAAGUUAACUCAGGCUUUCCACAUCAAGAUGUGAGCAUGUGCCAGUAAAUGGGCGGGAUUUACUGCAUAUGACCAAUCACAGACAUGGACAGAUUGACUGACAGCCGAGCUGAGGAUCAAACUGUUAUAUAUUAAAAAUCAGAGCAGAACAAACAUCCAGAAUAAAAGAAACAGUUCCAGCUGCUAAAUGCAGAAGAACAUCUGGUAAAACAUCUGGGAUUGAUUUGAUAGUAAAACUGUUCAUUAACAAGAGCAGAUCUGAAUCUAAUCUUGUAGUUUUGUGUUUCCAGCACAUGUCAUUUACAUUUAAUAUAUAAUAAUAUAUAUUCUCAUUGUGUGUCUGACACUUUGAGUCUUUCAGGCGAAACCCUGGUUCCUUCAGGCUCAGGAGGAAAUCACACACACAGGUAUAGAGAAUACUCUAGAGAAGGAAGUAGACUCCUUUUCAUAUCUUUUCAAUACAACAGGUACAACACUUCUACUUCUACUAUAUAUUGAUAUCAGUACACACAGGUUUGAACUAACGUCAGAUACUAAAAGAAAAGUAGAAAACCAUGAAGAACUAUAAAACCAAAGGAAAGACAUUGUUCUCAUUGUGUCAGAUGUAGAUUAGAACUAUUUACCAUGUUGAUUUAACACGUUAACCUGAAGUCACCUGACGACCUCAGAUCCUGCUUCCUGGUUCAGGUCCAGGUGAAAUCCUGAUGUUACACGUUGAAUCCUGGGAAUUCCACAUCAAAAAUCUUUGUUACUUUUAGUUUUCUUUAACAUUGUUUUUCACUCAUGACUUUUUUCUCUUUCAUCACUUCCUGUUUCAAUCGUCUCCUCAGCCAAAGAGAGUGAACCUGACGACAUGGUGUUCGAGGACUUUAAGCGAGCCUACCUGAAGGGCGUGGUCUACGGAGAUGAUGAUGAGUCUCCUACUGAGGCGUGAAGAGCGUGACUGUCGUCUGUCUCCUUCCAGAGCUGAAGACAAAGACAGGAUGUGUCCUGCAGCGCCCCCCUCAGGACAAACAUCCCAUUCAGCUGUGCUGCUGUUCUGUGGUACAGUGACUCAGGCUGCAGGGGGCGCUGUGGGGAACCAACUGACUUGUGGCUCCGGAGUUCUACUUGCUGUUGAAUGUUCUGAAGCUGCUCAGUAACGAUGUAUUGAUCCGUUGUCAGGAGCGGGUGUUAGCAUCUUUGUUUAGUUGAUGACAAAAGGCUUUCUGUCUAAAUAAAACAAACUAUUGUGAUCA